AAUAAACGAGAGUCGGUUUAUUGAAGGUAUACAAGAAUAAAAAUAAUAAUCAUAGGAGGAAGAAGGGUUUUAGCAAGGAAGGGAGUUACGGGAGGAACUCUUGAAAUAAGGAGGAGGGGGUCGAGCUUUUGGAGGGGAUAUUCAUGCUUAUUUUCACUUUGAGCUUUGUGAGCAGUUAGAACAGAGACAAGAUCAGAGUUUCAAAUAGAGUAUCUGUUAAUUAUCAGGAAUAAGAUAUCAAUGAUUCGUGGGUUGAUGUGAGUUACAGUUAUUAUAAGGGUCGGCGGCUGACGCAUUUUGGCAACCUUCUCCUCUUCAUCAUUUUUGCUUGUAGAUAAAUUUAUAGUAUAUAGAGUGGUCAGAGGGUCCCACUGCUUUUCAUAAUGUUUUAAAAUAUGUAUUUGAUAAGAUGUUUGUUUUUGAAAUGAUAUAAUAUGUUUGUUUUAUUUA
This is a long non-coding RNA of Salvia hispanica, 450 nucleotides long. RefSeq lists it as uncharacterized. The record is from RefSeq and is a predicted model, not a curated record. Lineage: Eukaryota; Viridiplantae; Streptophyta; Magnoliopsida; Lamiales; Lamiaceae.